UACGUAGGGUGCGAGCGUUAAUCGGAAUUACUGGGCGUAAAGCGUGCGCAGGCGGUUUUGUAAGUCAGAUGUGAAAUCCCCGGGCUCAACCUGGGAACUGCGUUUGAAACUACAAGGCUAGAGUGUAGCAGAGGGGGGUGGAAUUCCACGUGUAGCGGUGAAAUGCGUAGAUAUGUGGAGGAACACCGAUGGCGAAGGCGGCCCCCUGGGCUAACACUGACGCUCAGGCGCGAAAGCGUGGGGAGCAAACAGG
This 253-nucleotide ribosomal RNA is filed under the name uncultured bacterium. RNAcentral's name for it is "partial 16S ribosomal RNA". It matches the Rfam family "Bacterial small subunit ribosomal RNA", at positions 524 to 776 of the family's 1533-position model. The record is from RNAcentral.